Molecule: ribosomal RNA, 1028 nt
Filed under: uncultured bacterium
Lineage: Bacteria
Description: bacterial SSU rRNA
Rfam family: Bacterial small subunit ribosomal RNA
Source: RNAcentral
UAACAGUCCGAAAGGAUUGCUAAUACCGCAUGUGGUUAUUGGAAUUAGAAACCGAUAUCUAAAGGAGUAAUUCGCUUUGGGAGGGACCUGCGUCCCAUCAGCUAGUUGGUGAGGUAAUGGCUCACCAAGGCGACGACGGAUAGGGGACCUGAGAGGGUGACCCCCCACACUGGCACUGAGAUACGGGCCAGACGCCUACGGGUGGCAGCAGUAAGGAAUAUUGCACAAUGGGCGAAAGCCUGAUGCAGCAACGCCGCGUGCGCGAUGAAGGCCUUCGGGUUGUAAAGCGCUUUUCGGGGGGAUGAGGAAGGACAGUACCCCCGGAAUAAGGUACGGCUAACUACGUGCCAGCAGCCGCGGUAAAACGUAGGUACCAAGCGUUAUCCGGAUUCACUGGGCGUAAAGCGCGUGCAGGUGGUCUGGUAAGUCGGGCAUGAAAACUCUCGGCUCAACUGAGAGAAGCUGUUCGAUACUGUCGGACUCGAGGGUGUGAGAGGGAGGUGGAAUUCCGCGUGUAGUGGUGAAAUGCGUAGAUAUGCGGAGGAACACCAGUGGCGAAGGCGGCCUCCUGGCACACUCCUGACACUCAGACGCGAAAGCUAGGGGAGCGAACGGGAUUAGAAACCCCGGUAGUCCUAGCCGUAAACGAUGGUUACUAGGUGUUAGUGGUAUCAAGCCCACUAGUGCCGAAGCUAACGCGAUAAGUAACCCGCCUGGGGACUACGAUCGCAAGAUUAAAACUCAAAGGAAUUGACGGGGGCCCGCACAAGCAGCGGAGCGUGUGGUUUAAUUCGAGGCUACGCGAAGAACCUUACCCAGGUUUGACAUGCAGGUAGUAGGGAAGCGAAAGCGGACCGAUCCUUCGGGAAGCCUGCACAGGUGAUGCAUGGCUGUCGUCAGCUCGUGCCGUGAGGUGUUUGGUUAAGUCCAGUAACGAGCGCAACCCUUAGGGCCAGUUACAAGUGUCUGGCCCGACUGCCGGUCUUAAGCCGGAAGAAGGUGGGGAUGACGUCAAGUCAGCAUGUCCU